RNAcentral lists this ribosomal RNA (1333 nucleotides) under Vibrio parahaemolyticus. Its description in RNAcentral is "partial 23S ribosomal RNA". It matches the Rfam family "Bacterial large subunit ribosomal RNA", at positions 1616 to 2925 of the family's 2925-position model. The record is from RNAcentral. Lineage: Bacteria; Pseudomonadati; Pseudomonadota; Gammaproteobacteria; Vibrionales; Vibrionaceae.
AGCCUCUAAGCUUCAGAUUGUAAGGAAUCGUACCCCAAACCGACACAGGUGGUCGGGUAGAGAAUACCAAGGCGCUUGAGAGAACUCGGGUGAAGGAACUAGGCAAAAUGGUACCGUAACUUCGGGAGAAGGUACGCUCUUGAUGGUGAAGUCCCUUGCGGAUGGAGCUGACGAGAGUCGCAGAUACCAGGUGGCUGCAACUGUUUAUUAAAAACACAGCACUGUGCAAAAUCGUAAGAUGACGUAUACGGUGUGACGCCUGCCCGGUGCCGGAAGGUUAAUUGAUGGGGUUAGACUUCGGUCGAAGCUCUUGAUCGAAGCCCCGGUAAACGGCGGCCGUAACUAUAACGGUCCUAAGGUAGCGAAAUUCCUUGUCGGGUAAGUUCCGACCUGCACGAAUGGCGUAAUGAUGGCCACGCUGUCUCCACCCGAGACUCAGUGAAAUUGAAAUCGCUGUGAAGAUGCAGUGUACCCGCGGCUAGACGGAAAGACCCCGUGAACCUUUACUACAGCUUGGCACUGAACAUUGACCCUACAUGUGUAGGAUAGGUGGGAGGCUUUGAAGCACGUACGCCAGUAUGUGUGGAGCCGUCCUUGAAAUACCACCCUUGUAGUGUUGAUGUUCUAACGUCGACCCCUAAUCGGGGUUGCGGACAGUGCCUGGUGGGUAGUUUGACUGGGGCGGUCUCCUCCCAAAGAGUAACGGAGGAGCACGAAGGUGGGCUAAUCACGGUUGGACAUCGUGAGGUUAGUGCAAUGGCAUAAGCCCGCUUGACUGCGAGAAUGACAAUUCGAGCAGGUGCGAAAGCAGGUCAUAGUGAUCCGGUGGUUCUGAAUGGAAGGGCCAUCGCUCAACGGAUAAAAGGUACUCCGGGGAUAACAGGCUGAUACCGCCCAAGAGUUCAUAUCGACGGCGGUGUUUGGCACCUCGAUGUCGGCUCAUCACAUCCUGGGGCUGAAGUCGGUCCCAAGGGUAUGGCUGUUCGCCAUUUAAAGUGGUACGCGAGCUGGGUUUAGAACGUCGUGAGACAGUUCGGUCCCUAUCUGCCGUGGGCGUUGGAAGAUUGAAGGGGGCUGCUCCUAGUACGAGAGGACCGGAGUGGACGAACCUCUGGUGUUCGGGUUGUGUCGCCAGACGCAUUGCCCGGUAGCUAAGUUCGGAAUCGAUAACCGCUGAAAGCAUCUAAGCGGGAAGCGAGCCCUGAGAUGAGUCUUCCCUGAUACUUUAAGUAUCCUAAAGGGUUGUCGGAGACUACGACGUUGAUAGGUCAGGUGUGUAAGUGCUGUGAGGCAUUGAGCUAACUGAUACUAAUUGCCCGUGAGGCUUAACCAU